RNAcentral lists this long non-coding RNA (4884 nucleotides) under Sorghum bicolor (sorghum). RNAcentral's name for it is "long non-coding RNA (SBIC_LNC007698)". The stretch from base 758 to 896 matches the Rfam family "Small nucleolar RNA Z247". The record is from RNAcentral. Lineage: Eukaryota; Viridiplantae; Streptophyta; Magnoliopsida; Poales; Poaceae.
GUUAAAGGAUGUGAUAUUGGCCAGGCUUCGUGUAGUCUGUUGUAGGCUUCGUGUAGGUUGUUGUAAAGUAGUUAUCAUAUCUAUAUCUUGUAUCUAAUAUCUUGUAUAGCAAGUAGAUCAAAUCUGUUUGUUACUUUCUUGUAAGCCAAGCAUGUAAGCCACGCCGGGGGCUGUUCCCGGUCCAUAUAAACACGAAGCCGUGAGCCUGAGAAGGUCACGUUAACCCCUAAUCUUUACAUGGUAAUCAGAGCGUUUCGAUCUUGGUCCCGUCUACACGAUGGCCUCUUCUUCCGCGCCACCUGCGUCGCACUCGAUCGGUUAUCCCCCAACCGAGAAGCUGGGACGCAACAACUUCGAAAUGUGGAAGGCUCAAGUUCUGUCCGCGAUCAAUGGUGCGCAGAUGGUGCAGACCAUUGAUCCCUCCUUCGUGCCGCCAGCGAAGGAAAUCGCCAAGUCCGCGGAGAAGCCGGACGAGAAGAUUCCAAACCCGGAGUAUGUCUCCUGGUUCACCAAAGAUCAGCAGGUGCUUAAUUACAUUCAGUCUUCUCUCUCUCGCAAGAUUAUGUCGCAGGUCACCAGUACUACAACUGCUGCUGGCACCUGGGCGGCGAUUGAAAGCAUGUUUGCUGCUCAGUCCCGUGCGCGUGUGAUCAACACACGCAUGGCGCUUGCAACGACGGUGAAAGGGACAUCCACCGUGACCGAGUACUUUACUCGGAUGAAGACCCUUGCGGAUGAAAUGGCGUCUGCAGGGAAGAAGCUCGAUGAUGAAGACAUCACCUCAUACAUACUGGCGGGACUCGAUGCUGAGUUCAACCCGCUGGUGUCUGCCAUUGCUGUAAGGGUGGAACCGAUUACUCUCUCUGAGCUCUUCACCCAGAUGACAAGUUUUGAGCAACGCAUGGAUCUUCUCCAUGGUGGCUCGGGUGCAUCUACGAACGUCGCAGCGCGCGGUCGUGGUGGAGGCAACAACGGCCGUGGCCGUGGUCGCGGGGCUUCCAAUAUUCCCGGUGGUGGCCGUGGUCGCGGCAGCCAGGGACGUGGUCCCAAUUUUGAAGCUGGUGUGUUCUGCCAGAUCUGCAACAAGGAGGGUCAUCAGGCUGUGCGCUGCUUCAAACGCUUCAACGCCACCUUCAACAACCCUCAGCAAGAGAAGAACAAGACAGUGGCCAAUGCUACCACGUCGUACGGUGUGGACACCAACUGGUAUGUUGACACCGGGGCGACAGACCACAUCACCGGCGAGCUGGAGAAACUCUCGGUGAGGGACAAGUACUUUGGCAACGAGCAAGUGCACACCGCCAGUGGGUCAGGUAUGAAAAUUAGCCAUGUUGGUCGUAGUUUGUUUCAUACCCCCGAUCGUAAUCUUGUCCUUGACAAAAUUCUGCAUGUUCCUCAAGCAAGCAAAAGCCUAGCAUCUGUCCAUCGCCUUGCUGCUGAUAAUGAUGUUUAUCUUGAAUUUUAUCCUGAUUGUUUCCUCAUUAAGGAUCGGGACACGGCGAGAGUCCUGCAUCAAGGCCAAUGUAGAGGUGGUCUAUAUCCCUUGGCGUCUACCACUUCGUUAAAUAAAGCUGCCCACUCCGUCGUCAAGAUUUCAGAGUCCCGAUGGCAUGCACGUCUUGGUCAUCCUUCGUCUUCAGUUGUUCAACAGAUUCUUCAUAAGCACCGCUUAGCUUUUAUUCCUGAGUCCAAUAAAGGUGCUGUGUGUGAUGCUUGCCAACAAGGCAAAAGUCACCAAUUGCCAUAUCCCAAGUCAUCCAGUGUAUCCUCUAGUCCUCUAGAAUUAAUAUUUUCUGAUGUCUGGGGGCCAGCACCCAUGUCCGUUGGCAAGAACAAUUUCUAUGUCAGUUUUAUUGAUGAUUUUAGUAAAUUUACUUGGGUAUAUCUGCUGAAGUAUAAAUCUGAGGUGUUUAGAUGUUUCAAUGAUUUUCAAAAUAUGGUGGAACGCCUAUUUAGCAAGAAAAUCAUUGCUGUGCAAACUGAUUGGGGAGGGGAGUAUCAGAAACUAAAUUCCUUUUUUCAACGAGUUGGAAUUACUCAUCAUGUUUCCUGCCCCCAUGCUCAUCAACAGAAUGGCUCAGCUGAGAGAAAACAUCGCCGUAUAGUUGAGACAGGACUAACCUUGCUAGCACAAGCUUCAAUGCCUCUGAAAUUUUGGGACGAGGCAUUCUUAACUGCCACUUAUCUUAUUAAUCGAAUGCCUAGCAAGGUCAUAGAUAACCAAUCUCCCCUUGAGCGCUUGUUUCAUCAGCAACCAGAUUAUGCCAAUCUUAGAACUUUCGGCUGUGCCUACUGGCCGAAUUUGAGGCCAUACAAUAGCAAGAAACUUCAGUACAGAUCAAAGGAAUGUGUGUUUCUUGGGUACAGUCAUAUGCACAAAGGGUUCAAGUGCCUGGAUGUUGCAGCCGGGCGUGUUUAUAUUUCGAGGGAUGUUGUUUUCGAUGAGAAUGUCUAUCCUUUCUCAAAACUACACUCGAAUGCUGGUGCCCUUCUUCGUGCAGAGAUAUCUCUUUUACCUGAACAUCUCCUUCCUUUGCAUGAUCGUGGGGAUGAUACGAACUAUGAAUCUUCAUGUGCUAACCCCACUAAUGACUCUGUUGAAGAAAUAUUGUCUUCAGGAAAUAUGCCAGAUACCUCAAAUCUGGACCAAAAUGGUGGCCAAAUGGAGAUCUCUCCUGUGUCUCCUGCUCCCUGCGUGGAGACAGGCGCGCGAUCCCAGGAUGCUCCUCCGACGUCGCAAAGGAUCGGAUCUGCCUUGGAUCCGGUGCUGGAUACGGAUCCCGUGCCUGCCUCUCCGCGUGCGCCAUCUGGUGCCAUGUCGCCGUCCCGCGGGAUUGCUCCGAGGCCGGGAGGGAUAGCAUCAUCCUCGGGAAGGCGGUAGCGGAUCUUCUACGCCAGCCACUUCGUCGUCCAGCAGCUCUUCGUCGGGAGAUGAUUCGUUGGGUGCUGAUUCAUCCGCUCCAGAUAAUGCACUGCCUGCAUCACCAUCUGUACCGCCUCCUUCAGAGCGUCCUCGGACACGGCUACAACAUGGCAUACGCAAGCCAAAAGUCUAUACUGAUGGAACAGUCAGGUAUGGUCACCUUGCUGUUGCUUCUGAGGAACCUUCAAGUCUGAAUGAUGCACUCUCUGAUCCUAAUUGGAAACAUGCUAUGGAUAAUGAGUACUCUGCCUUGAUGAAAAACAAAAUGUGGCAUCUUGUUCCUCCUCAGCAAGGAAGAAAUGUAAUUGAUUGUAAGUGGGUCUAUAAAGUAAAAAGGAAAGCAGAUGGCACUAUAGAUAGAUACAAGGCUCGAUUGGUUGCAAAAGGCUUUAAACAAAGAUAUGGGAUAGAUUAUGAGGACACAUUUAGUCCUGUAGUUAAAGCAGCAACAAUUCGUCUUGUUCUCUCUUUAGCAGUGUCACAAGGCUGGCAUCUUCAUCAAUUGGAUGUUCAAAAUGCCUUUCUACAUGGUAUACUUGAGGAAGAUGUAUUUAUGCGUCAGCCGCCGGGGUAUUCAGAUAAGCAGGUUCCUCACUACUUGUGCAAACUUGACAAAGCCUUGUAUGGGCUCAAACAAGCGCCUCGUGCCUGGUAUGCACGGUUGAGUCAGAAGUUGCAGUCAUUGGGUUUUACCCCAUCCAAGGCAGAUACAUCUCUGUUCUUCUAUAAAUCUGGAAAACAUGUCAUUUAUAUGCUGGUGUAUGUUGAUGAUAUAAUCAUUGCUAGUUCCUCACCUGAAGCCGUCAAAGCCUUACUUCAUGAUCUUGAAAAGGACUUCGCUAUCAAGGAUCUUGGCGAGUUACAUUAUUUUCUGGGAAUUGAAGUUAAGAAGAUACAUGGAGAGCUCCUUCUCACUCAGCAGAGGUAUGCCACUGACUUGUUAAAAAGGGUGAAUAUGAGUAAGUGUAAUUCAGUGAAUACGCCUCUACCAGUAUCAGAGAAGUUAUCUGUUACAAGUGGGCAUCCUCUUGGUCCUGAUGACUCAACUAGAUAUAGGAGUAUUGUUGGCGCCUUACAAUACUUGACAUUGACUCGUCCAGAUAUAUCCUUUUCAGUUAACAAAGUCUGUCAGUUUCUUCACUCUCCUACCACAGUUCAUUGGGAAGCCGUGAAACGUAUCUUGCGGUACUUAAAAGGAACUUUGGGUGUUGGACUUCGAAUAGGUAAAUCCAAGACCAUUCAGGUUAGCGCUUUUUCAGAUGCUGACUGGGCAGGUUGCCCUGAUGAUAGGCGUUCAACAGGAGGCUUUGCUGUUUAUUUGGGCGCAAAUCUGAUCUCUUGGAGUGCAAGGAAACAACCUACUGUUUCUAGAUCAAGUACAGAGGCUGAGUACAAGUCCAUGGCUAAUGCUACUGCUGAAGUAAUGUGGGUGAGGAAAUUGCUGGAUGAACUUGGUGUAUCACAUCCUAUGGCGUCUUGUUUAUGGUGUGAUAAUUUAGGUGCUACUUACCUAUCUGCCAAUCCAGUCUUUCAUGCUAGAACGAAGCAUAUUGAAAUAGAUUUUCACUUUGUCCGAGAACAAGUAGCUGCUAAGCAACUUGAUAUUCGGUUUAUAAAUUCAGGAGAUCAGAUUGCAGAUGGUUUUACUAAAGCACUUCCAGUGCAUAAGUUACAGGCAUUUAGAAACAAUCUCAAUCUCGUUGAUGAGUUGUGAUUGCGGGAGGGUGUUAAAGGAUGUGAUAUUGGCCAGGCUUCGUGUAGUCUGUUGUAGGCUUCGUGUAGGUUGUUGUAAAGUAGUUAUCAUAUCUAUAUCUUGUAUCUAAUAUCUUGUAUAGCAAGUAGAUCAAAUCUGUUUGUUACUUUCUUGUAAGCCAAGCAUGUAAGCCACGCCGGGGCUGUUCCCGGUCCAUAUAAACACGAAGCCGUGAGCCUGAGAAGGUCACGUUAACCCCUAAUCUUUA